AAGAGCAGAGAGACGAGGAGGCGGGGAAGGAACAUGGGAUGGGACCAUCAAGAGCGAUGAAAUAAAGCGAUCGAACGCAUAGCACGCAUCGGGCGCAACGCUUCGGUCGGUGCCCCCGGGUCUAAACAUUUUGCAAAAAGAAAAGAAAAAACGCAUCGCCUCGCGAGACAGGAAAUAACGCCGCCGCGCCAUGUAAUCUGCUCGCCGCCGGAGGAUAGGUAGGCGGGGCUGCGGGGGUUGCUCUUCCGCCGCUGGAGACCCGGGGCGGGUGCCCCGGCUCUCCCGGGUGGUGGAUCCUCCACUGCCCGCGUGCGGUAGCCGGAGACCAAGCACGCAGGUGUUCGAUGCAGGCCUGACCGGCGCAUCCCCUGGCCCUUGCUUGCUGGUCUACUCCUGACUUUCGUGGACUGGAUGCCUCUCUUGAGGACGGACUGUGACGGUAAAGCAACAACAUCAACUCGCAAUGGCCUCACGGGAAAAUAAGUUGUAGCCUGAGCUGAGCACGUGCCCCACUGUCCGAAUAAAGUGUAUAACAAACAGCAGUGUGUGGCUAAGGUGUCAUGUGUUACGGUAAGCCUCUCCCAGUAAAUAUUCGAUACAUGUUUGAGCCCUCUAUCUUGGAGGAAGGUGUGUGGCAUGCCCAGCUCUUGGUUGAGGGCCUUCAGUGAUUCAUCCACUGGUAUAGUGCAGUCUAAGCAGAUCAAUAGAUUAGGGUGGACAGGUGAUAAUUAUCUUGCCAAAUCUAGGCUUCCUUCCUACCUGCUCUUCUGUCAGUGAUCAGUGUAGAAUGAUAAAGAAAGAAGAAUAUCACUGUACACGUGGCCACUAAUAUUUCGUUUAUGGUUGAGAGCAAAAAUGUGUCGGUGCAUAUUUGGCUAGUAAUAUUUCUUUUUCAUUGAAAGAAGCCUCAAAGUGGCUGGCACUCUGUUCCUUGUUAGCAGGACACGCAGAACUGAACUGACAUGAACAUGGCAUAGUAUUAUCUGCCAACAUUUUUCAACGCUAUUAUCAGACACCUGCAGGUUCAUCAAAUUCUUGAAGUUGGAUCCCUGCAAACCCAAAGAAGCCACGUCGCUCGGUGAAAAGGAAGAAGAAACAGAAGUCACAUUGUUGUACAACAUGCUGUAUUUUUACUUGCUUAGAUUUCUUUACUGCCCAUGCAACUAAGAAAUCUCUGAUUGCAUGAUACGAUGCUGAAUUACAUAUUACUGAGAGUGAGCUUGCCGCUGCAUUAGAAAAAUGAAUAAAUAAUUGCACAUACUCUGAAAAUUGUAUCCGUUACACACUGCUGAAGUUGCCUGCCUCCUAAUCAGUUCCAGCGUAUAUGGUUCGAGAUUAUAUCCACCUAUCCGCCGAUUGGUUCAUCGCUACAGUUCGUUCCAGUUUCUACUCUAUUUUGAAGUCCACAGGUUAGACCAAAGGUUGGUCACGGAACAAUGAUUCAGGCGGUCAAGUUUGCUCAGGAUGUUGAUCUUGCUGGGAUCUUUCUCAGGUGAUCUCAACUAUUUAUCAUCAUUUGGUUUGCUGGGGUCUCUUGCCAGGUUUUUAAUUUGCCGUGUGGUUUUUUCUCUUUUGGUUUGCCGUGCAGUAUUGUUAGCAUGACUCUUAGCAUGAAAGGUUGGUCAUGAAAUUUUCUGUCCAUGAUGUUUGCAAUUAUUUCUGUCCAGGUUUUUAAUUUACUGUGCAUUUUUUUCAUUUUUGUAAUUUGCCAUGCAGUAUUGUUAGCACAGCUUUUGGCCUAAAAGGUUGAUCAUGAAAUUUUCUGUCCAUGAUGUUUGGAAUUAUUUCUUCGUGUUGCUUCUCCGUGUUGCUAAAUCACAAGGAAGUGUAGGUAUGUGUUUCGGCACAAUAUAGAAUAAAUAAAUAGUGUUGCCCUUUUUUAAUUAAAUGAUGUUAUCUUUAUAGAAGUUCAAAAGGAAAAAAGGAAACAGCUCGGUUGUCUUGGCCCAUAUUCAUCAUAACUUGGCUCGCUUCCAGUGUCCAGCUCAUUUGCUGAUCCAGUCACACAUAGUCCAGGAUGAAGCAGAAUCCCCUUGGAAAAAAAUGAUCUCACACGGCGACCCAGUGCAGUGGCUCGGCGCCCCAGCAUUUUUGGCCAGAGACCAGGCAGGCGGGAGGGCCGACUCGGCCAGAUGGCACAUCCCUUGACCCGGCUGCUCUCCUCCUGACUUCCGAGAGUUCCGCAAGCGUGUCGGAAAGUGAGGACCCGUUCG
Molecule: long non-coding RNA, 2213 nt
Organism: Hordeum vulgare subsp. vulgare (domesticated barley)
Lineage: Eukaryota; Viridiplantae; Streptophyta; Magnoliopsida; Poales; Poaceae
Exons: 3
Source: RefSeq, a predicted model, not a curated record